UCGGAUCCAUAUGUUAGUUUACUUUAAAUAUAAACCACACAACACCCGGCAAUAUGUUAUAUUUGGUAGAAAUUUGUCUUUUAAUUUAUGUAUAAUUCAACACAUAUAUCCAUUUUAAAAGAAUCAAAUACUCGAUAAAAAAAACACAUUAAUAUUAAUAUAUUGUGGCAUAUAAUUUCAUCAACACUAAAAACUGCAACAGCAACUUGCAUGAUCUCAUUGUUUCAGACCAAUUCCAUUAUAUUUGGUUGCCUGUAAUAGCCAUUCCAUUCCAGGCUAAUUCGGCGUGCGACAGUGAAACUGUAGUUUGGUUCAUGGAAUGGCCAUUCGACCGAGUGGGUUUUUAUUCCUCAAAUAUUUUUUCCCCAAAAACCAAAAAGAUCACAUAUGACAUUACCAAACCUACAGAAAAUAACACAAAACCCAUAUAAGCUUGAAAAGCUAAAAACGUUUUGCCAAAAAAAGAACGGAGGAGAGAGAAAAUACCUUGUGCUUUGGUUUAAGAGACUUGCAUGGGUUUUUUGACCUUAAAAUUUAUGAAGGGAGAAGAGAAGAAUGGAGAGAGAAACACAUCUCCAACCCAGCUCAAAGAAAAACGAUGGCAAAAAGGAUUCCUAAAUUAUUUUUGACUAAUUUAAAGUGUAGAUCUACGAUUACAUGGGCUGAUUCAGAGAAAAUUAAUUAGAGAAACAGAGAGAAGGGAUUAAGAUCGUUCUCCAAAGGAUUUUUCUUAUGAACAAAGACAUCGAUGGACGGUGGCAGGCGGCAGCUGUUACGGAGGAGGACUGUCGGAUUCUGGAAAGGAUGCACUUUCUUACGAGUGUUCAUGUUUUUAAUACAGAGAGACGGAGAGAACUUGGGGCGUGGGGGUAAUUAGAGAGAAAAAGAACGUUAAAAAUGAUUAAAACAAAGAAAAAAAAAUCACUACAUUAAAUAUAUGUUUAAUAAAUCGAACACAACUAUUUAUAUAACUG
RNAcentral lists this long non-coding RNA (974 nucleotides) under Gossypium raimondii (Peruvian cotton). RNAcentral describes it as "long non-coding RNA (GRAI_LNC006958)". The record is from RNAcentral. Lineage: Eukaryota; Viridiplantae; Streptophyta; Magnoliopsida; Malvales; Malvaceae.